GUGCCAGCAGCCGCGGUAAUACGUAGGGUGCGAGCGUUAAUCGGAAUUACUGGGCGUAAAGCGUGCGCAGGCGGUUAUAUAAGACAGUUGCGAAAUCCCCGGGCUUAACCUGGGAAUGGCGCUUGUGACUGCACGACUGGAGUGCGGCAGAGGGGGAUGGAAUUCCGCGUGUAGCAGUGAAAUGCGUAGAUAUGCGGAGGAACACCGAUGGCGAAGGCAGUCCCCUGGGCCUGCACUGACGCUCAUGCACGAAAGCGUGGGGAGCAAACAGGAUUAGAU
Molecule: ribosomal RNA, 279 nt
Filed under: uncultured Burkholderiales bacterium
Lineage: Bacteria; Pseudomonadati; Pseudomonadota; Betaproteobacteria; Burkholderiales
Description: partial 16S ribosomal RNA
Rfam family: Bacterial small subunit ribosomal RNA
Source: RNAcentral